This 248-nucleotide ribosomal RNA is filed under the name uncultured Lachnospiraceae bacterium. RNAcentral describes it as "partial 16S ribosomal RNA". It matches the Rfam family "Bacterial small subunit ribosomal RNA", at positions 524 to 771 of the family's 1533-position model. The record is from RNAcentral. Lineage: Bacteria; Bacillati; Bacillota; Clostridia; Lachnospirales; Lachnospiraceae.
UACGUAGGGGGCAAGCGUUAUCCGGAUUUACUGGGUGUAAAGGGAGCGUAGGCGGCAGUGCAAGUCAGAAGUGAAAGCCCGGGGCUCAACUCCGGGUCUGCUUUUGAAACUGUACAGCUUGAUUGCAGGAGAGGCAAGUGGAAUUCCUAGUGUAGCGGUGAAAUGCGUAGAUAUUAGGAGGAACACCAGUGGCGAAGGCGGCUUGCUGGACUGUAAAUGACGCUGAGGCUCGAAAGCGUGGGGAGCAA